GACGAGGGCUCCCAGAGUCGUAUUCUGGAGAUAUCACAGAGUGCUGCCCCUGUCACCUCUAGAGCUGCCCAUGAGCUGAUAGAGGAUCACAGCCUCCUCUCGUGGGUCCUGCACGGCUUAGAGAAAAGGUUUCUGGAGAACCAGGUGAUAAAUAAAAUGAUUUCCUUACUCCAUCCUCUGUGGCUAAUAAAUUUAAGAGACAAGAGAGAAAACAGGAAUCGAUCCCAGAUGCUGCUGUUGAGAUGGAUAUAUGA
Molecule: long non-coding RNA, 254 nt
Organism: Vidua macroura (Pin-tailed whydah)
Lineage: Eukaryota; Metazoa; Chordata; Aves; Passeriformes; Viduidae
Exons: 3
Source: RefSeq, a predicted model, not a curated record